GAGGUGAUUAAUUGGAGGGCAAAUCAAGUGCCAGCAGCCGCGGUAAUACUUGUUCCAAGAGUGUGUAUGAUGAUUGAUGCAGUUAAAAAGUCCGUAGUUUAUUUUUUUAAGAAGCAAUAUGAGGUGUACUGUAUAGUUGGGAGAAAGAUGAAAUGUGACGACCCUGACUGGACGAACAGAAGCGAAAGCUGUACACUUGUAUGUAUUUUUUGAACAAGGACGUAAGCUGGAGGAGCGAAGAUGAUUAGAUACCAUUGUAGUUCCAGCAGUAAACUAUGCCGACGAUGUGAUAUGAAAUGUUAAUUUGUAUUACAUAAUAGAAAUUUGAGUUUUUUGGCUCUGGGGAUAGUAUGAUCGCAAGAUUGAAAAUUAAAGAAAUUGACGGAAGAAUACCACAAGGAGUGGAUUGUGCGGCUUAAUUUGACUCAACGCGAGGUAACUUACCAAUAUUUUAUUAUUUUGAGAGAACGGUUUUUUGUUUGAGAAUGAUAAUAGUGGUGCAU
Molecule: non-coding RNA, 503 nt
Filed under: Vairimorpha ceranae BRL01
Lineage: Eukaryota; Fungi; Microsporidia; Nosematidae
Description: Nosema ceranae BRL01 Microsporidia small subunit ribosomal RNA
Rfam family: Microsporidia small subunit ribosomal RNA
Source: Rfam by way of RNAcentral